This is a long non-coding RNA of Fundulus heteroclitus (mummichog), 2797 nucleotides long. RefSeq lists it as uncharacterized. The record is from RefSeq and is a predicted model, not a curated record. The transcript has 3 exons. NCBI's taxonomy places the organism in Eukaryota, Metazoa, Chordata, Actinopteri, Cyprinodontiformes, Fundulidae.
GGAUGAGAAGGGUAUGAAUGGGUGGGUGGAUGGGUGGGGGGGGACGUGUGCUCGAGUGUGCAGAUGGAGGGACAGCACCGGAUCAUUGUACAUAAAAAACAGAUUUGCGAGGCCGUGCGCACAGAUACACAAGGCAGCACCGCUGCAGGAACAUCUCUCCCCACAGCACAAAAGCAUUUACCCUUCCAAAUGAAACUGAAAUGUAUGCUCUUGUUUUUUUUCCCCUCUCUCUCUCUCUCUCCCUGUCCUCUUUGUCUUGCUCUCCUUCUUUUCAUCCUGGCUGAUGGGGAAAUGGAGGGUAUUUGGGAGCUACUUAGAUAAUAGCCACAUCUUCCCCGGUCCCCCUUGUGCUUUAGAGGAGGAAACUGUGGCCCUGCCAUUGAGCCAGCCAGGAACCCAGCUGUGCACGACCCAUUCGGCACAACCGCUAUCUAGUCAGUACAGCCGCAUCGCUGGGGCUCCGUGAGACAAAAAAGCAGCCAAAGUCAAUUGUCUCAGCUGCUGAAUAGCUUUCUGUUCCCUGUCAUGCAUUUCCGAGUGCUUUUUUUUUUUGCAUGAUGAAAGGGGACCAAAAUACAAUGAAUUCAUUUUUUUUUUUUUUAUUGCGUAAAUUUUUUGGGGGGGGAAAAAAACAUUAAUUUUACAUUUCUACUUUUCAGGAACGAGAAAGUUCCUUUUUCAGAACAAUACGGUGGGUCUGGUUGUGGUAUACUGUCAGGGGUAAACUUGUUUUUAAAAAGAGUAGGAGAAUCGGAUAAUCCCCCUUUUGCGUUACUGACUUUUAAAUUAAAGGCACGACAGACCACACUCGGUUUAGGCAACAAAGAGGGCAGGUAGCAACGAUUAUAAAGAUAAAGCUUUUUUUUUUUAUGCUAACAUGUUCACUUCUAACUCCAUACGUACACCAGGUAAGUUCUUUAUACGGGCUCAUCUUGAAUGCGUUUUUGACCGACACAUUGUUUCAGAGCUCAAACAACUAUAUAACGCAGACAAACUGGUAAGAACACCAAAAUUACCUCGUUGAUUUUAUUUUUUUCCCCCCCAGAACCCAAGUCCGACACUUCCAGGCGACAUUCUCUUGACCUACAGACGCAGUCUCUCCCUAUAAUCCACAGCUCCAAACACUGGAUCACAGCAUUUAUCAGCCUGAAUCUGCCACGCUCCCUCCCUCUCUCGGUUACCUCUCUGGACCACCUCCCAUCCUCCCCCAUUUUCUGAACCUGACGAGUCAAAGGUCAGGAAAACAACAAGUCAAUACGCAACCGCGAAGAGGAGGAAGCGCCUCGCAGCUGAGAGAGCCGUGGAGAGGGGUAAGCCCCUCUGCAGCGCGCCGUGAUUUAGCCUGUAAUAGUUUUCUGUAAUCUCUUUCUAUUGAUUAAACCUCACAUCAAAGAGGAGUCUUGCUACAGAACCUCUCUUUUCCUGUUCAGAAAUACCAUAUGGAGGUAAUCUUUCACCUUUGUUAUUCUUGCCGCUCCCACCACUGCUGCCGCUGCCACUGCUGCUGGGAGCCCCUUCUCCCAGGCAUGAGGAGGGGAGACCAGUGGGAUAAUACAAGCCCAGCUCAAGGGAAUAACUGCAAAACUCAUCUGAAUCGCACACAGAUUUCGCUCAAUGCGUCCAUUGUCAUCCCAUGCAGGCUGAAUGUACCUAUUGUCUGGUAGGGUUUUGCAUUCAGGUUUGAUAUUUGUACCAAAAAGAAAAACCCUCACCAGCCAAGGGACAAAGAGCAGCACAUGCAUGCCACGUUUCACUGUAUCGCUUAUCUAAAUGCAAAACUAAAAAGACAAAAAAAAUGAAGUUGGGGUGGGCUCCUGCUAAAAACACUCAAUUUAGUGACAGGCAAAUGACUUCAUGCUGCCACUUAAUCUCAUUUCUUGCAUAAUGCUCUCUAAUUAGCAUAUCAAAGUGAAUUAAUACUUCUAGGGGCAUUAGCUAUGCAGGAAAAUGCUGUAGCGCUACAAAAACAGUUAGAAGAGCGCCAUGAAGUUCAGAACAGCCUGACAAGUGCUAAAAAUGUCUCGCUCUAUUUUUUUUCCUCAGAUUAUUAAGAAAAGAUCAUUUUGAGUUCUACAUGACAAUAAGUUCCUAAAACACGAUUAGAGUGAUUUGUUUUUUUGUUGUUAUUUUUUUAGUGUUGUUCGGCCAGCAGUGGGUUCCAUGGCCGGGAGAAAGCGGUCCCGCGUGUCGUCUGAACAGACACGAAAGUGUUAAGGAGACCCCCACAAACGAUGCUACGAGAGCUGGUGAAAGGCUCGCUGCGUGCAGGAGGAGCGGAGCGGUCAACAAGGCCACCAGACCAGCUGAGCUCUGUCAGAGGCAGAGAGGGAGAGACUAGGACUCCAGAGCACAGUUUCCUUUUAUUCAGCGCUCGGCACCUCCCCAUCCCAGACUUUGAGCCGCGACCAAAGCAGGCUCUUCAGGGAUAACAGAUGAGCACAGAUGAGCGGUGUCAGCCUACUGGGAGGAGGUGAAACAACUGGUGGACUGGGGUGACAAAAACAAUCUGAUCUUGAAUGUCAGCAAAACAAAAGAGAUCAUCAUUGACUUCAGGACAAAUUAGCCAAGUCACACACCCGUCCUCAUCAAACUCCUAAGGGCGCAGAAACGGUCACUUUGAUCUGGUGCCUCCACACCUGUUGUAAAGAGAUCACUGCAGGAUCUGCACUUUCUGCCUCAGAUAAGAAGAGCAAACCUCCCUCCUCCCAUCCUCACCACUUUCUACAGAAGGAAAUGGAGGACGUACUGACCAGCUGCAUCACUGUCUGGUCUGGGGCCGCCAAAGAUUAAGACUGGA